Molecule: ribosomal RNA, 253 nt
Filed under: uncultured bacterium
Lineage: Bacteria
Description: partial 16S ribosomal RNA
Rfam family: Bacterial small subunit ribosomal RNA
Source: RNAcentral
UACGUAGGGUGCGAGCGUUGUCCGGAUUUAUUGGGCGUAAAGAGCUCGUAGGCGGCUUGUCGCGUCGAAUGUGAAAACUCGGGGCUCAACCCCGCGCUUGCAUUCGAUACGGGCAGGCUCGAGUUCGGUAGGGGAGACUGGAAUUCCUGGUGUAGCGGUGAAAUGCGCAGAUAUCAGGAGGAACACCGGUGGCGAAGGCGGGUCUCUGGGCCGAUACUGACGCUGAGGAGCGAAAGCGUGGGGAGCGAACAGG